UAGGGAAUAUUGCACAAUGGGCGAAAGCCUGAUGCACCAACGCCGCGUGCGCGAUGACGGCCUUCGGGUUGUAAAGCGCUUUUCGGGGAGAUGAGGAAGGACAGUAUCCCCGGAAUAAGGCUCGGCUAACUUCGUGCCAGCAGCCGCGGUAACACGUAGGAGCCAAGCGUUAUCCGAAUUCACUGGGCGUAAAGCGCGUGUAGGCGGCUUGGUAAGUUGGAUGUGAAAGCUCCUGGCUCAACUGGGAGAGGACGUUCAAUACUGCCGGGCUAGAGGGCGACAGAGGGAGGUGGAAUUCCCGGUGUAGUGGUGAAAUGCGUAGAUAUCGGGAGGAACACCAGUGGUGAAAGCGGCCUCCUGGGUCGCACCUGACGCUCAGACGCGAAAGCUAGGGGAGCGAACGG
Molecule: ribosomal RNA, 404 nt
Filed under: uncultured bacterium
Lineage: Bacteria
Description: bacterial SSU rRNA
Rfam family: Bacterial small subunit ribosomal RNA
Source: RNAcentral